AACGAACGCUGGCGGCAUGCCUAACACAUGCAAGUCGAACGAGACCUUCGGGUCUAGUGGCGCACGGGUGCGUAAAGCGUGGGAACCUGCCCUUAGGUUCGGAAUAACUCCCCGUCAGGGGUGCUAAUACCGGAAAAUGUCUUCGGACACAAGAUUUAUCGCCUUUGGGUGGGCACGCGUUGGAUUAGCUAGUUGGUAGGGUAAAAGCCUACCAAGGCGACGAUCCAUAGCUGGUCUGAGAGGAUGAUCAGCCACACUGGGACUGAGACACGGCCCAGACUCCUACGGGAGGCAGCAGUGGGGAAUAUUGGACAAUGGGCGAAAGCCUGAUCCAGCUAUGCCGCGUGAGUGAUGAAGGCCUUAGGGUUGUAAAGCUCUUUUACCCGGGACGAUACUGACAGUACCGGGAGAAUAAGCUCCGGCUAACUCCGUG
RNAcentral lists this ribosomal RNA (433 nucleotides) under uncultured bacterium. RNAcentral's name for it is "partial 16S ribosomal RNA". It matches the Rfam family "Bacterial small subunit ribosomal RNA", at positions 29 to 507 of the family's 1533-position model. The record is from RNAcentral.